This 505-nucleotide ribosomal RNA is filed under the name uncultured bacterium. Its description in RNAcentral is "partial 16S ribosomal RNA". It matches the Rfam family "Bacterial small subunit ribosomal RNA", at positions 28 to 507 of the family's 1533-position model. The record is from RNAcentral.
GACGAACGCUGGCGGCGUGCCUAAUACAUGCAAGUAGAACGCACAGUUUAUACCGUAGCUUGCUACACCAUAGACUGUGAGUUGCGAACGGGUGAGUAACGCGUAGGUAACCUGCCUGGUAGCGGGGGAUAACUAUUGGAAACGAUAGCUAAUACCGCAUAAUAUUAAUUAUUGCAUGAUAAUUAAUUGAAAGGUGCAAUUGCACCACUACCAGAUGGACCUGCGUUGUAUUAGCUAGUAGGUGAGGUAACGGCUCACCUAGGCGACGAUACAUAGCCGACCUGAGAGGGUGAUCGGCCACACUGGGACUGAGACACGGCCCAGACUCCUACGGGAGGCAGCAGGAGGGAAUCUUCGGCAAUGGACGAAAGUCUGACCGAGCAACGCCGCGUGAGUGAAGAAGGUUGUCGGAUCGUAAAGCUCUGUUGUAAGAGAAGAACGGGUGUGAGAGUGGAAAGUUCACACUGUGACGGUAUCUUACCAGAAAGGGACGGCUAACUACGUG